Molecule: ribosomal RNA, 462 nt
Filed under: uncultured bacterium
Lineage: Bacteria
Description: partial 16S ribosomal RNA
Rfam family: Bacterial small subunit ribosomal RNA
Source: RNAcentral
GACGAACGCUGGCGGCGUGCUUAACACAUACAAGUCGAACGGUAAGGCCCUUCGGGGUACACGAGUGGCGAACGGGUGAGUAACACGUGGGUAAUCUGCCCUGCACUUCGGGAUAAGCCUGGGAAACUGGGUCUAAUACCGGAUAUUCAGUUCCUGCCGCAUGGUGGGGGUUGGAAAGUUUUUCGGUGCAGGAUGAGCCCGCGGCCUAUCAGCUUGUUGGUGGGGUAAUGGCCUACCAAGGCGACGACGGGUAGCCGGCCUGAGAGGGUGAUCGGCCACACUGGGACUGAGACACGGCCCAGACUCCUACGGGAGGCAGCAGUGGGGAAUAUUGCACAAUGGGCGAAAGCCUGAUGCAGCGACGCCGCGUGAGGGAUGACGGUCUUCGGAUUGUAAACCCCUUUCAGUAGGGACGAAGCGCAAGUGACGGUACCUGCAGAAGAAGCACCGGCCAACUACGUG